GGGCGUGUAACUCAGUGGUAGAGUGCUUGCUUCGCACGCCUUGCGCGGAGAUUGCGAGAAGUCCAGGGUUCAACUCCCUACUCGUCCA
Molecule: non-coding RNA, 88 nt
Organism: Hypoxylon crocopeplum
Lineage: Eukaryota; Fungi; Ascomycota; Sordariomycetes; Xylariales; Hypoxylaceae
Source: the annotation of a GenBank genome assembly